CCCAGCAUGACAUAGUGGUUUGAGUGUUGGACUAUGACUUGGAAGACCAGGGUUCAAAUCCCAGCUCAGCCA
This 72-nucleotide transfer RNA is filed under the name Phrynosoma platyrhinos (Desert horned lizard). RNAcentral describes it as "tRNA-OTHER". The record is from RNAcentral. Lineage: Eukaryota; Metazoa; Chordata; Lepidosauria; Squamata; Phrynosomatidae.